This 444-nucleotide long non-coding RNA is filed under the name Mytilus galloprovincialis (Mediterranean mussel). Lineage: Eukaryota; Metazoa; Mollusca; Bivalvia; Mytilida; Mytilidae. The record is from RNAcentral.
ACUUUUUGAAAUUUUGGAUCCUCAAUGCUCUUCAACUUUGUACUUAUUUGGCUGUAUAAAUAUUUCGAUUUGAGCGUCACUGAUGAGUCUUAUGUAGACGAAACGUGCAUCUGGCGUACUAAAUUAUCAUCCUGGUACUUUUGAUAACUAUUAUUACCAAAGUUAAGAUGAUAGUGCAUCAUGUGCAAUGAUACUCAUGUAUUACAACUUCCCUGGUCUGAAUCCAAUAACUUCUUCAAUCAGUGUACACAUGUACAGGUGAAACUAAAUAUACAUUUUCCAUUUUUACAGGAAAAUGAUAUUAUUUCAUCUAAGAUUGUAUUGGCAUAAAAAAAUCCCAAUUAGGAUAAAAAUUCCCAAUUUGAUGUUCAAGGGACCCAUUUGAAAACACCUGGAAUCAUCCCUGCAUUAUUCAUAUAUACAAAUAUGACUGUUUCUAACCCC